ACGGCGAGUGAACCGGGAAAAGCUCAAAUUUGAAAUCUGCCAACAGGCCGAGUUGUAAUUUGUAGAUGGCUACACUGCAUAAUAGUAGAUGCUCAAGUUCUUUGGAAAAAGACAUCAUGGAGGGUGACAAUCCCGUGAGGCAUGUUACUAGGAGCAUAUAGUGGGCUUUCUAAGAGUCGAGUUGUUUGGGAAUGCAGCUCAAAGUGCGUGGUGAAUACCAUGUAAAGCUAAAUAUGGACGAGAGACCGAUAGCGAACAAGUACUGUGAAGGAAAGAUGAAAAGCACUCCGAAAGGAGAGUGAAAUAGUACGUGAAAUUGUUAAAGUGGAAGGGCUUGAGAUCAGAAUUGGUAGUUUGGGUUCCACGUCCUCUUGGGGGCGUGUACUCCCUUUCCACCGGGCCAGCGGGAGUUUCGUCUCUUGGGUAAAAGCAGUGGAAUGUAGCAGCUUGUCUGUAUUAUAGCCUCUGUUCAUACAAGACGUCGAGACU
This 489-nucleotide ribosomal RNA is filed under the name Wickerhamiella pararugosa. Its description in RNAcentral is "LSU rRNA". It matches the Rfam family "Eukaryotic large subunit ribosomal RNA", at positions 86 to 584 of the family's 3401-position model. The record is from RNAcentral. Lineage: Eukaryota; Fungi; Ascomycota; Dipodascomycetes; Dipodascales; Trichomonascaceae.